AUGCCGUCAUGGCCGAACAACAACGAGACGUCGGACGAUGAUGGUGAGUACAUGAGCGAGUUCAGCAGCAUGCAGAUGGAGUACUUUCAAACUCCUGACACUGUGAUAGACCCUAGUUUCUGUGGGCUUGUGACUGAAUUUGAGAGAAGGUGCAUCCUGCAUAGGCAGAUGCUAGGCAAGUUUGUGGCAUUUAAAGGCACUAACACUGGCAGGAGAUUCAUGGGGUGUGCUACUGAGCGGGUAGAUGCCCCCUGGCCUGUAAUUCUGCAAAGGUGCUUAAGCAAGCUCUGGGAUAUGUAUCAUGAGCAGAACCUUGGUAGAGCCCAGGAUAAUGAGGCUCAUGGGAUAGAGGUUGCAAAACUGUAGAAGGAGCUUGAUUCUCUGGCCAAUCAGUAUAGCCAGCUGGUGGAUGAUGUGUCCAAGUUGUUUGAUUAUCAGGAUGGAAUCAAAUCUCAUGACAUGGAUUGCACAAACCAGGCAAUCAAUGAAUUGAAGGAGAAGAAGAAGCAACUUGAGGAGCAGGCAAAGAUUGAGCUUCAAAUGGAGAAGCUUAAGCUCAAGAAAGAACACAGGUGCAUCCUUCAGAGUCAAGCUGAUAUAAUCUAGAACACAAGAAAGGCCAUGAAGCAGAUAUAGGUGGAUAGAGACCUCCUUAUAGAAGAGAAGAAGAAGCUGGAAAAUGUCAUUGCUGAGCUCCUGAGGGUUGGUCAUGGGUGCAAGGAAAAGCUAGACAAGAUCAAGGAAGUUGUGAUGGAGGAGUGA
Molecule: ribosomal RNA, 762 nt
Filed under: Triticum aestivum (bread wheat)
Lineage: Eukaryota; Viridiplantae; Streptophyta; Magnoliopsida; Poales; Poaceae
Description: partial small subunit ribosomal RNA
Source: RNAcentral